AUGCAUCCUAAGAGUAGUUGCGAGAAAACCUAGAAGCCAAUUGUGCAGCAGUGAGUGAAUUGCACCAAAGGCAACCCCUGCGCGCGUCGCCUUCUCUUCACGCAUAUACGACGCUCCAAUAUCUCCUUCUCCUUUUUUCUGCAUCAUACAACUUUUCACCAGCCAUAGCCGCCUGCAAAAUUGUCCUUACAGCAUUAUCUACUUAUCCUUGUGGCAGUGAGAUGAUGCCAUGUUACAUCUAAAGGACCAUGAGGAUAAAUCUGAGUCGUCCGUUGCACCUGACGUCCGGAUUUUCUGGGAUUUGGAUGAAAUUUCGUACAAACCACAUCCUUUUCCAUUCCUUGGGGAGAUAUUUCAAACUUGAAUGAAGGGGAAUCAUGAUUUUACCCCCAAACAUCUCCAAAUUUCACCCGCCCUUUAUAUUCAUAAACCCUAGAUUUUCUUAUCUAUAGAAACAUCUCUUCCUCUCUAGAUCACGGCAGAUUUUUUUGGGGAGUUCAAAAAAGAAGAAAGUGGGUUUUGGAAAGUAUUACAGAUAAAGGAAUGCAAAACCAUAAAUUUUACUUCAGAAAACAUGCCUUAAAUACUCUUUCCUUCUUCAUUAUUCGUGAUUGGUUGGGAUCUGCAGGAGUUAAUUAGAAUUUUUGAAGUUCGGUGGAGUUGUCUUGUGGUCGUUGUCUCAGUUCGCUGACCCUCGAAAGGUAAUAUCCUCUUCAUAUUAGAUGCAUUUUUUCCCAAAGCGUUAUUUCUUGAUUCUCGACUAUGUGAAGUUAUUUACAUGUGAGAGUUAAAGAUGUGUUUGACUUUGACUUCGUGCAAAUUAAUGGUAAAAUUUGUUCGAUAAGUCCCUUGCUAUGGUUCUUCCUUCAUUUUCAAGAUGGUUUAAUGUUCUUUUGAGCUUAUAUCUCUGUCUGUGCUCUUCUUGAAUUCUUGAAUUCUUGACUUUGAUGCUCACCUCGAAGUUCUUUUUUUUAUUUCAUUUGCUAAUCCAUAGGAUGUGAUCCUAUUUAUUUUUCCCACACUAGUUCCUUUAGCCUAUUACUUGUUUUGAAUGUGUUAAAGGAUUUAUAUCCCUGCUUUUAUCGUGCUUAUUUUCGAGUUUACAUAAUAGUUCCUAUCCAAAUUAGUAUAGCUUAAAAUUUGUUCUUAUUGUCUUAUGGUAUAGCUAAUUGUACCAUUUUUGUUUAUUUGAUUUUGUCUCUAGUUCUUUAGACGUUGUCCAAGCUGGGUUUAAAUGUUUGUUUUCUUUAAAAUUAUGGGUAUUGUUUCGGUUGUUUGGUUCCAAAUGGUACAUAAUGUUGGUCUUGAUUGAUUUGACAUACCUUAGAAUAAAAUCAUGAUAGUAUUUCUGUUACGAGCCGAGGGUAUACACUACAAGUUAUGGCAUCCUCAAAUCAUCACGUGGUGUCGUCGAGAUCUCAGAGGUCUAAGACAAGCCCUUAGACAUCUUUCAUCACAUAAUCGUAAAAAUAGUGGAAAAUUUAAAAUUUUCAUAGCACAUCAUAUACUAGAACAUUACUAUAUAUAUAAAAUAUUAUAAUAUAUAGUUAAAAUCUAAGUCUCUUUGCCAUCUUAGACUCAACACCAAUAGAGUACAAUAGGGACACGGCCCUUAAAAACAUAAGAUAAUAUCUAAGCUAUUACAUAAUUUAAUAGGAACUUGACAUAGGGAAAUCCUUCAAUCAUAAGGAUCCCUCUUCUUGAACUUGGAAGAUCUAUCCAAGCUUUUCACCUACGAGACGUCCUCUUGUCAUCACCACCUACAGUUUGUGUAAAAAGAUGAAAAAGAAUAGUAUUAGUACAAGAAUUCACUACGCAUGGAAAUCAUGCAAAAACUUGCAUUUUUUAAAAAAGUACAUUCAUUUGAAAUCAUUCAACAUGUCUUUUUAGUAAACUUCAUGAACAUAGGCACAUAUAAGCUAAAUAUAUUUCACAUACAUCAUAUACACAUUCAUACUACUCAUAAUAGCACAUAAAGUCAUUUAUCAUACUUUGAGGCUUAUUCAAUACAUACAUGAUAUUACUUCUAUUUUUAUCUUACUUCUGUCCUUUAGUAACCCUCAAGUGUACUUAGUACAAUGUAUCACCUUGAAAUCACCUUACAAUAUCCUUUCAUAUAUAUGCAUCAUAAACACAGCCACAUACAUUCACAAGUCAUAAGCACAUCAUAGACAUCAACUUCACACAAAUACCAUCACCUAAGAAAACUCCUAAGUUACACUAGUGCAAUGUGUACAUCCCAGAAUACUACUUCCACCAAAUGUACCUAAGAAAACACCGUAUACUAGGAAUAACAUACCCAACAAGUCAUAACACUUUCAAUUAUAACUAAACAUAAGGCCACAUACUUCAUAACAACAUAUAAGGACUCUUUUCUUUACUACAAUCUUAGUCAUAAACCAUUUAGUUCAUAUCAUAGGUAAACCACCCUCAUAACCCCUUUAGAAGCUUACUUACAUAAUGUACACAUGGAGUCUCAUACCCCCACAUAUACUAUGUUAACUAACUUAGAAACCAUAAGUGCAAUUCGCAUGCAUACUCAUAAUUCAUAUCUUCACACAGCAAAGUCACUUAACAUGCAUUCAUACAAGUCAUACAUAACAUAAGUCUUUACUUCAUAAGAGGUUCCAAUCCUAUCCUUUCUUGAAGUCAUCUAGUGAAAUGCAUAGAUAGGGUCCACAGUCCUACUUAUGCGAAGUACACUUCUCAAGGAAUUUCGAUUAUAAUAUUCUUAUAUUAGUUAAUUUAUUAACCUUUGGAAAACAUAUCCAUAACCGACAUAGACCAUGUAAGCUGCAUGAAAUCCGGUGUUCUACUCCCACACCAAAAAGAGAGGGGUUAACACUUGCCUAAGGUUCAACCAUUCGUACAUAGCUAUAUCGGUUGAUCCACUAAGCUAGAGUCCUAUGUUGGCCAAUAGUUAAGGGUCAAACAGAUUAUUGCUAGACUUUGACUUGCUGAACGUGAAGGUUUCCAUCUCAUGAGACAAAACAUAUCUUGGGAAUCUGGACUUAAAUUGAAGAAACCCAUGUGGGAGGACGGACUUACUAACGUGAGACUUCCAUCUCAUUUGCAUACCCUUUUGGUGAUAAGCAAAAAACUCCCUUUUAAAACAUCAUUAAGCCUUUAGAUAACAUUAUUUCAUAAAGAUUAGGCCUUUAGGGACUUACUCCCUCAUAUAUCAUAUAGGUCAAACGUAUCUAAGACGAUAAAGUCCUUUCAUCAUAGUAUCUAUAGCAUAUGUGAAUGUCAUUUCACAAAAUCAUAUCAUAUUCAUACUCUAGUCUAGUUUAGAGUACAAUUUAUUAAUACCUUUCAAGAGACUCACUUAUUUAUUAGACCACCAUUACAUACUUCACCUAAGCACCUUUAGGCACACAUGUUCAUAAAUUCAUUAAUCAUAUACUUAACAUGCAUAGAAAUAGGCAAUGAUGCAUAGGAGAACUAUCUUUCCUUAGUCAUCAUUUAUCUAUCCUACUCAUAGAUAUGAAUGGAGUGUAUGUGAGAACUAUCCUUUCCUUAGUCAUCAUGAACCUAUAAUACUCAUAGAUAUGAAUGAAGUGUGUGUGAGUGUACAUUGGUCAAUAUGAUCACAUAAUGACUAGUAGAUAGCAUUGAUGAAGCCAUCCUCUAAAGAUCACAACACAUGUACAACAUUCCUCAAGUAUCAUGUCAUACACACAUAUAUAGAAUUAAUUACAAUAGACUACACACACUCAAAUUAUACCAUAGAAGACAAGAGCAUAUUCAACAUUAGAGUACAAGACUCGUAGCAUAAUUUGAUCACACUUUCAUAUAGGGAUUUAAUAGGUUAGAACCAUGCUAGAAGAAUAUUCAUCAUCAUUAGCCGAAUAGACCACACCUAACCCUAACAUUAUCAUCACACAUAUGCAUAUUACAUCAUCUCCACACCUAGGUCAUACAACUAGUGUGGAAGACUAUUCAUAUACUUCACAUGACAUCAAUUCACUUAGAUAUGAUAUUAGAAUCGAUGCUACAUCCUUCAACUUCCUAAACAUGGAAAUAUUAUAUAAAAUCAUCUUGCAUAUAAUGUCUUCAAGGAUAUGAUCAUAACAUAUAAACAUGUAAAAGAAUGUAAACACCGCCAGCAUAACUGGACCAUACCAAUAAACACAGUUCACUAUACAUUCUAAGCUAAUUAGAGGAGAUAGGUCAAAUUACCAAAUCUCCAAGAUAAUGACCAUUUCUCCAAAAUUAAUAUUCAAUUUAUAUAUAUAGUAAUAGCAACAACCAAUUCAAUAAAAUCUAAUCACAAUUCUAUCAACAUAAAGUCAAGAUCAUAAGACCCACAUUAUGGACCAAUUUGAGAAAUUAGGAGAAUCAUGGGUUCUGCAUGAAAUUUGAUUGAAAUUCAUAAUUAAAACAUUAAUUAAACAUAAUUCCAUCAUUAGAAUGACUUUGAAAUAAAUUUGACAAUGAACUCAUGGGUAGAUUGAAAAUUAGGAAUUUUGGUCUUUGAAUCACUUUUGAAAAUCAUUGAUUUAACUCCUUCGAUGAAUGUAUAACUAAGGAUGAAGGUUCACCAUACCUUAUUUAUUGAAUACCCAUGAAUUGGAGAAAAAACUAUAGAAAUCGAGCCCCUAGCUUGAUCUUGAGUUUUGGUCUCCCGUGGAGGUUUCGGGAGAAGUUGGAAGAGAUGAGAGUUUUGGGGUUUUGAUUUUUCUUAUUGGGUGUUGAGAUUUUGAUGUGGGAAAGGGGUUAAAUAGGUAUUAAAAUAAGUUUAUAAACAUCAUCCAAAGUUACCAAAACAUCCUCAUAUUUAUUUGAACUUUCAGACAUGUCAAACUCAACUUUUAUUUCUGGAAUCUUCGUAGUGGAGCAGUUCCCGCAUGAAUUUUUUUGAAAAUAACUUCAGGUACAAUUGAAUCUAUUUUGUGUACCUGACGCGGACCAACAUUAUUACCUAUGAACGGCCAAGUCCGCGAUACGGACCUAUUUCACCAAGGAACAAAAAUUGUUGUCUUGGUCAUCUUGUUUGCCCAAGGUUGGGUCCUCCUCAAGGACCCUUUGGUUAAUCCUUGGGGAGUUUUUCCCGGAUGUUUCCACCUAAAAUACUCAUUUAUACAUGUUAGAAACCUCUCGUAUUAAUUUUAACUCCAAAAAACACAUAAAACAAGCAAAAACACACAGAGACACACAAGCACAUUGCAAGGCAACACUUUCGAAUGUCUUGGACGUUUGACCUCCAAACAUAAUACACUACCUUUUAAAACUACAAUUAGUCAUUUAAGGAUCUAAUUAACUCAUAACCAACAUGUUAGUCUCUAAUUCAACCUAGAUCAUUUUGAGGGUGUAACACUUUUCUUGGUUACAAGAUGCAUAAAAUAUGUCGUAGUCCAUGUUCAUUCAUUUCAUUUUUUGUGUUUAUUCCUUUAGGGCAAAUGAAUAUUCCCUAUUUUCUACUGGAGAUCCCCGUGAGAUUCAUGUAUAUCUUUAACAAAUUUCAAUAAUGUUGGAAGUACAUGAAACUUUGAAUGUACAUCCAUAAUUCUAGCUUGUUUUCUUCAUCAAUCUUACCAUAUUUCAAUAUUUGUUAAGGAUGUUGUUUAUUUUAUUUUAUUUUGUUCUUUUUUCUUGCUUUGGUGAUCACCGGCUUUUAUUUCCCUUCUCUAUAUAGCUUGAUUAGGUGUCGUUAAGACUAAAAUCGGUGAUAAGAAAGAUGCCCAGAUGAUGUCUAUAUUAGACAAUAUUCGUGUGUAAAAUUUGAAUUACUGACGAUACAUUUCUUACUAUUAUAUUUGUUUAGAAAUCUCACCUACAAAUGAUAAUUUAUUUAUUACUUUGGACUAAAUCCUACAUGUUUUACUUGUUUAUAAUGUUAUUUUAAAAGUUCAAAAAGGGGAUUGGAAAAUCUGUUUCAUUUUACUUUAACUACUGAUUGUAGGCUUGUUUUAGCUAACAAUUCUUGGGCUUUGAGACAAAUAUACAAUAGUCACACUUAGUAGAUGACAUAUUUGUUCAUUAUCUCUUUGAACUUGCCUAGUAAUGAUUUUAAUCUUGUAAUAUUGAAACAUUUAUGUUAAAAGCCUAUAAUUUUACAUCUCAUAUGACCUUUGUUCCAAUGCUUAGUCUUGAUUACUGUUCCCCAUUCAUGAUACAUACAAAUUAACAAGUCUUCAUCUAUUUUUCCUUUUAAUUUUUCCUUUUAAUUUUUGUAUUGUUAAUGACUAAUCAGUAUGUUAUUUUGUUUGCGAAUCUAUUUUUAUCUUACCACUUCAUUCCUUUCCAAAAGAUGCUAAUUUUGUUACUUAUUUAUCGUUCUUGCAUGUGAAAUAUGUCCGAGUUCAUCAUGAACUCUUAUCUUUUCCUUGAAUUUAGAGAGAUUCGUAAAGGCUUGAUUCCCCUUAUUAGAGUCAGCCCGUCAAAUCAAAGAAUGAGUUUCAAAAAAAGGUGUACAGGUUCCCGAAUGGAAAGAAACCUAACUGGAAGAAGUUGAAGAUUUUGGGCCAACAAGCCAAAAUUUAUUUUCUAAAUUUUGUAUUUAGUUAUGUUGGGCCUAAGUACUUUUUGAUAUUAUCAUUAUUGUAUUGUUAGAAUUUUAGGACAUGUAGAAACGGGCCAAAGUCCCAAAAUGAAAUUGGUCCAAAUACGGUCCAGGCGGACAGAAACUAGAUUUGAACCCAACUCUCUCUCUCUCUCUCUCUCUCUCUUUCUUUCCCUCUUUACAUUAUUACACUUACUUACUUGUUCUUAAUUGUCUUUAGUCUUAGAGUCGGAAAAUUCGAAAUCCUGCAAGACUUAAGUUAUGUUUUUAUUAUUUGAACUAAAUCAACCAAGUAUAAGUGGACUUAAAAAAUAAUAAAUUUUGCAAAGUAAAAACC
Molecule: long non-coding RNA, 6842 nt
Filed under: Solanum lycopersicum (tomato)
Lineage: Eukaryota; Viridiplantae; Streptophyta; Magnoliopsida; Solanales; Solanaceae
Description: long non-coding RNA (SLYC_LNC000947)
Source: RNAcentral